Molecule: ribosomal RNA, 490 nt
Filed under: uncultured bacterium
Lineage: Bacteria
Description: partial 16S ribosomal RNA
Rfam family: Bacterial small subunit ribosomal RNA
Source: RNAcentral
AGUGAACGCUGGCGGUAGGCCUAACACAUGCAAGUCGAACGGCAGCACAGGAGAGCUUGCUCUCUAGGUGGCGAGUGGCGGACGGGUGAGGAAUACAUCGGAAUCUGCCCAGUCGUGGGGGAUAACGUAGGGAAACUUACGCUAAUACCGCAUACGACCUUCGGGUGAAAGAGGGGGAUCGCAAGACCUCUCGCGAUUGGAUGAGCCGAUGUCGGAUUAGCUAGUUAGCGGGGUAAUGGCCCACCAAGGCGACGAUCCGUAGCUGGUCUGAGAGGAUGAUCAGCCACACUGGAACUGAGUCACGGUCCAGACUCCUACGGGAGGCAGCAGUGGGGAAUAUUGGACAAUGGGCGCAAGCCUGAUCCAGCCAUACCGCGUGGGUGAAGAAGGCCUUCGGGUUGUAAAGCCCUUUUGUUGGGAAAGAAAUCUUUCAGGCUAAUACCCUGGGAGGAUGACGGUACCCAAAGAAUAAGCACCGGCUAACUUCGUG